AAGUCGUAACAAGGUUUCCGUAGGUGAACCUGCGGAAGGAUCAUUAACACGUAUCCAACGUUAAACAACCCUGUGAACUUUCAGACGCUCUUGUAGCCCAGGAGGAACAGCAAUCCCGGUAAAUCAAUGGCGGAAAAGUUUUGAUUCGGGACCUCUGUCCAAAAGGUAUCAAGUUACAAUCGAGCUAGGAGCAGUGGCAUGGGGAUCCACUGAGUAAGGAUUCACGGUUGCCAGAGGUCGAUCACCGGCCGGCAGACAUGUCACAGGGCUUUACGCCCCUUCAUUCACCCCUUGCCUAAUCAAGCCCCGCGGAAACGCCGGGCAAAAAAAUCUGAACACUGUGAACAAUGGAUACCUUGGUUCUC
RNAcentral lists this unclassified non-coding RNA (365 nucleotides) under fungal sp. RNAcentral's name for it is "partial internal transcribed spacer region". The stretch from base 1 to 46 matches the Rfam family "Eukaryotic small subunit ribosomal RNA", at positions 1786 to 1831 of the family's 1831-position model. Lineage: Eukaryota; Fungi. The record is from RNAcentral.